This 710-nucleotide ribosomal RNA is filed under the name uncultured bacterium. RNAcentral's name for it is "bacterial SSU rRNA". It matches the Rfam family "Bacterial small subunit ribosomal RNA", at positions 68 to 771 of the family's 1533-position model. The record is from RNAcentral.
GAGAGACCUUCGGGUCUCUAGUGGCGAACGGGUGAGUAACACGUAGGGAACCUGCCCGCGCACCGGGAAUACGCUCUGGAAACGGAGAACAAAUCCCGAUGUACAGGAAGGAGGCAUCUUCUUUCUGUGAAACAUCCUUUAGGGGAUGGGGCGCGGAUGGACCUGCGGUGCAUUAGUUGGUUGGCGGGGUAAAGGCCCACCAAGACGAUGAUGCAUAGCCGGCCUGAGAGGGCGGACGGCCACAUUGGGACUGAGACACGGCCCAGACUCCUGCGGGAGGCAGCAGUAGGGAAUUUUCGUCAAUGGGCGCAAGCCUGAACGAGCGAUGCCGCGUGAGUGAAGAAGGCCUUCGGGUCGUAAAGCUCUGUUGCGGGGGAAAAAAGGCAGCAUCAGGAAAUGGGUGCUGACUGAUGGUGCCCCGCCAGAAAGUCACGGCUAACUACGUGCCAGCAGCCGCGGUAAUACGUAGGUGGCGAGCGUUAUCCGGAAUGAUUGGGCGUAAAGGGUGCGCAGGCGGUCCUGCAAGUCUGGAGUGAAACGCAUGAGCUCAACUCAUGCAUGGCUUUGGAAACUGGAGGACUGGAGAGCAGGAGAGGGCGGUGGAACUCCAUGUGUAGCGGUAAAAUGCGUAGAUAUAUGGAAGAACACCAGUGGCGAAGGCGGCCGCCUGGCCUGUUGCUGACGCUGAGGCACGAAAGCGUGGGGAGCAA